Molecule: ribosomal RNA, 408 nt
Filed under: uncultured bacterium
Lineage: Bacteria
Description: partial 16S ribosomal RNA
Rfam family: Bacterial small subunit ribosomal RNA
Source: RNAcentral
AGUGAACGCUGGCGGCGUGCCUAAUACAUGCAAGUCGAACGGAGUGGCGCACGGGUGCGUAAUGUAUAGCUAAUCUGCCCUACACUAGAGGACAACAGUCUGAAACGACUGCUAAUACUCUAUAGUGUAGGAUGAGGCUAUAUUGUAUCAGCUAGUUGGUGAGGUAAUGUCUCACCAAGGCUAUGACGCAUAACUGGUCUGUGAGGAUGAUCAGUCACACUGGAACGGAGACAAGGUGCAGACACCUACGGGAGGAAGCAGUAGGGAAUAUUGAUCAAUGGAGGAAAGCCUGAAGCAGCAGCGCCGCGUGGAGGAUGACACUUAUCGGAGCGUAAACUACUUUUGUUAGGGAAGCGGUACAUAACGAAUAAGCACCGGCUAACUCCGUGCCAGCCGCCGCGGUAAUUC